Molecule: long non-coding RNA, 253 nt
Organism: Carassius auratus (goldfish)
Lineage: Eukaryota; Metazoa; Chordata; Actinopteri; Cypriniformes; Cyprinidae
Exons: 3
Source: RefSeq, a predicted model, not a curated record
UUUUGUUCCUGGACUCUUCAGUGAUGAUGAGCAGAGUCUAAGUGAACCUGCUGUCAGACAAUCACUAUUGCACACCAAAUGCUCUUGCUCAGCAGAUGGGGACAGCUACCAUCACCCAAUUUUCACCCAAAAGUGGCUGCGCUAUGCGCCAGACCGGGCAGGAGGGACUGGACGACAACUUAUGCAGGCAUCAGAUGACAAUGAAGUGUAAAUAAAGAGUAAAGAGGCUAAUAAACAUGAAUUUGAUUUUAAA